This is a non-coding RNA of Eubacterium sp. CAG:192, 167 nucleotides long. The record is from Rfam. NCBI's taxonomy places the organism in Bacteria, Bacillati, Bacillota, Clostridia, Eubacteriales, Eubacteriaceae.
UUAUUACAGUGUACCAAAACAUAAGCGUACUUGUGCUUGCACAAAAGUACGCUUAUGUUUUGAGGACACGCCCGCAUAAUGAGCAUAAAAGCACAGCGAAGUUGUGCGAUAUGCGAAUUAUGUGGUGAAAUUGCGGGAGUGCAAAGCACGUAGCAAUUUCGUAAUAA